Long non-coding RNA from Taeniopygia guttata (zebra finch), 6435 nucleotides. NCBI's taxonomy places the organism in Eukaryota, Metazoa, Chordata, Aves, Passeriformes, Estrildidae. The record is from Ensembl.
GGUCCCAUGUUAAUUUUCAACCUAGUAGUUAUCAUAGCCCUGCAACAUAUGAGCUAAGCCACUCUACCAAUCUUACAAUGGAGAGGUAUGACUCAGGUGACACCUUAGGCUUCUUCUUAUCUUCAAGGAAUCAGAAGGGUAUUCAUUGGUGAUGCUUGAGACCAUCUGCCCGAGAGCAGAAUUGUCAAAAAAAUAGACUAGGGCUAUUUUGUUUCUUUUCUGUUCUUAUAACAUCAACAGCCUCCAGCUUUUGAAAAUUAUUUUAAUUGUUAAGGGUAGCCUGGAGAGGAGAAGGUUCAGAGGAGACCUUAUCAUUCUCUACAACCCCCUGAAAUGGGGUUGUAACCAGGUGGGGGUUGGUCUCUUCUCCCAGGCAAUCAGUGACAGGACAAGAGGACACAGCCUUAGGCUGCACCAGGGGAGUUUUAAGUUGGACAUUAGGAAGAAGUUUUUCAUAGAAAGGGUGACUGGGCAUUGAAAUGGGCUCCCCAGGGGGGUGGUAGACUCUCUGUCCCUAGAGGUGCUUAAGGAAGGACAGGAUGUGGCACACAGUGCUAUGGUCUAUUUGACAUGGUUGUGUUGGGUCAUAGAUUGAACUCAAUGACCUCAAAGGUCUUUUCCAACCUAGUUUAUUCUGUGAUAUUUUGAGCAUUUAAGUCCUUGAAAUUAUUGUUAUAAAUAAUGAUAAUUAGCAAAUAUAUGCUGUCAUUCUUACUUGCAGAAAAUUGUAGCAGAGUAAAUCAAAGGCUUUAAAAUCAUAUCCUAGUACUUUAGAAGUAAGGAAACCAAGAUCAAAGCAGCAAUCUGGUAGACAGGUAAAAAUAAGAGAGGCAAAAUUGUUCUGUGCCAUCUCUACCCUCUUGUGCUUAAUCCUACAGAAGGCUGAGUUCCCUCAAGGUCCAGGAGCUUCAAAGUUUUCUCUUGCUGUAAAUUUCACUAGUUCUCCUGAAUGUUAUGGUCUUUGAAGGCAAUGAAGCACACUGAUCACUCUAUUAGCCAUUAAGCAAUACACAGCCUCCCCUUUCCUGUAAUGAGUGGGAUAAUCUUCUUUGCCUAUUUAUGAAGUCUUCUAAGGCCACAGAGUUGGAAACUGAUGUAAUUUGCAUUCCUCUGCUUCUCUGUGUCUUUCCUUAAGUUCAGAGCAGGACAACAGCAAAGCAAAGCAGAGUUCUUUCUAUUAUUUAAAAAGAUUAUUAUAUCAUCACUUCCUGAAGUAUGGAGGUGUUCAUUACAAACAGUCUGUGAAAGGCCAAGGACUUAGAAACCCAUUAUUGUACUGUUGCUCUUACUGUGCUUACUAAAUACUAUUUUCUGCAAAGAAAUAAACGGUUAGAAAAUCUUAAUCUUCUUCAAGUGGGAGGACAUUUGAAUUGAUGUGUGUAAACUAAGUUUAUAUACAUAACAUAUUAACAGAGGGAUUUCCAGGUUGAGGUGUUGCUCGGGUUGGGGCUGUCCAAAUAAGGGAUGCUACAUUUACAUACUCACAUGUGUGUCUUCCCAACAGCAAUUGUUAUGUUAUGUCCCAUAGAACUUUAUGCUGGGGUGACAAAAUGUAGCCAUGCAGUCUCUGAUUCCUUGGUCAUUUCAUUGGUAGGCACUAUUUCAAUAAUUUUUUAAAGUUGAUCACAAACCAGCAGCUGACUAAAACCCUUUGUGAACUUCUGUGUCCAAAAUCACCCAUUCAGAAUGGCAGAGCACUGUCAAAGCAAGCAUGACAUCCAGCAAGACCACGUCCCUCUUCAUCUCCUUCAUUCCCCAUUGCAGUGCAUGUUGAGGGGUGACCCAGUAAAUCCCACCGGGGCCAGGUGCUGAAGGUGCUCUGAGAGGGAAGGAGCUUUUGAUGUUAGCACUGCCCGAAUCCUUCCUCCCAGCUCUUGGGCCCUAGGGCUUUCAGAUCAAAGCUGAAGCAUUACUGCAGAGAGCAGAAUGGUUUGCCAAAAAAAAGGAGGAAAGUCUGCCAAAAAGAAAGCUCACUGAACACUUAGGGUGUGUUUAAGAAGCAUCAACCUUCAGUUCUUGCUGGUAGCAGCUCUGUAGUCCCAGCGGACCUGCUUGCCAUGGGAGCAGCAGCACCUUCUCCCCUCUCACUGUCUCAGUGUUUCCUAUAGCUCCUGCAGCUUGGCCUUAGAAAAGAUCCCAGAAAGGGGAUCAGCUGUCAGAUUCUGAUCCUGAUGAAACUCAGGACAGAAUAACAGACAUCUCUGCUGAGCAUGUUCAAUCACUUUGAUUUUAAAAUUAAUAGUGCUGGUAUAAGCUGCGGGUGAUGAUUGCUAAAAAUGUACUACAGAAUUUGGACUACUAUCUUGGAGUAGCCAAGAAAAAAGUUUUUUUGCCCCUUCCUACUAAAUCCUGAUAAAUCCUUUUGUGCCAAUUGUGUUAGCAUUCUCUUCUUCUCCUCCGUGUCUCUAAGUAAUUUUUUUCCUUUGUGCUGUUUUGAAUCCUUAUCAUGAUGUUGGUACUUCCCAGUUGGGUGUCAGAGGCACCCAGAUAAUUUUGGUCAUUAAUCCUUGUUUGAGUCUGUGUUAUUAGCAGAAAUUUUAAGCAUGCUACAUCUUAAGACUUGUGUUUUGGGAUUUCCACCAGUAACUUUCCUGUUCCUUUUCUCAUUGCUACUGCAGUCAGUUUCUGAGCAAAUCUAUGAUUCUUACGCUGAGGACAAUCUCUUCCAGUUUAACUGUUCUUCAUAUGGCACCAUAUGUAAAUUAUCUUAAAUUUAAAUAAAUUAAAUUUAGGACAUUUCACUAGCAAUUACCAUACAAACCCCCAAAAUAUCAAGACAUUUUGGCUUUAUCUACUCUGAAAAAAAAAGUAUUUCUAUCUUAUUUCCUAUGUAUUUCCAUAUCUUCCAUUUUUCUUUCCUUAACAAUUCUUUCUCAAGUCUUCAAUACUGUUAAGAGCCUCAUAAUUACAUAUAUUCAAUUAAUUGAUGUUUGAGGUGUGGCAUAUCACUAGCUUGACUAGUUCACUGGAGACUCUUCCUGUCCCUUCUUUUGCAUAUUUGGAACUGUAGGGAUUUGGCUUCCACUUCGAAUGUGCUAUUUUCUAUCUCCCUUCCUUCACUGGUGCCAGUGAGAAUUGAAUCUGGCCUUUUGUUGGAAGCAGCAAGCGACAGCAUGUACACAAACCUGGGAAUUCAAAGAGGGGCAGAUGGGAUUUCAGAGGCUGUUUUUGAUAAUUUGUCCUUACACAUUUGUCCUAGUACACACGAGGCAUAACAGUAAGCAAAAGAAGGGAAAAUUAGUCAUCUUGCUAAUGGACAAUUUGUCUCCUGGAUGUCUCCCUAAUGAGGGGGGGUCCCUUACAGGCUGUUGCCUUUGUAGAACUCAAGCCCCAGGUGUCACAGUAAGCAUUUCACACUGUAAUGUGGAAUUUGCCUGCUGCAAUUCCUUUUAGAGAAGCUAAUUGUGAGUUUCAUUGAGUGUUUUCUGGAUCAGAGAUAUCUGACCUACCUGGGUCAGGGCAACUGUCUGGUAUCAGCACAGGCUGGGGGAUAAAUACCUGUGGAGCAGCCCUGCCCAGAAGGACCUGGGGGUGCUGGUGGGUGAGAGGCUGGACAUGACCCAGCCAUGGGCACUCCCAGCCCAGAGAGCCAAACGUGUUCUGGGCUGCACCGAAAGCAGCGUGGGCAGCAGGGCAGGGAGGUUUUGUCCCCCUGCUCUGCUCUGGUGAGAGAGACCCCACCUGGAACACGGCACCCAGCUCUGGGCUCCCAGCAGAAGAAGGACAUGGAUGGGUUGGAGCAGGCCCAGAUGAGGGUCACAAAAACUAUCAGAGGGAUGGGAAACCACUUACAAGGAAAGGCUGAGAGAAUAUAGGCUGUUCAGCCUAGGAAAGAGAACACUUUGAGAAGACCUUCAGGCAGUCUCCAUGUACCUAAAGACAGCUUAUGAGACAUAUGAUGACUAAUUUUUUAGCAGAUCCUGCUGUGAUAGGACAAGGUAAAAUGGUUUUAAAGAAAAAGAGGGUAGAUUUUAAUUUGAUCUAAGAUAGACGUUUUUACAAUGAGGGUGAAGGGACCCUGGAACAGAUUUCCCAGAGAGGUGGUGGAUACCCCAGCCCUAGAAAUAUUCAAGGCUACACUAGACAGGGUUCUGAGCAACCUGAUCUAGUUGAAGAUAUCCCUGCUCAUUGCAGGGAGUGUUGGACCAAGAACCUUUAAAGGUCCCUUACAAACCAAACUAUUCUAUGGUUCUAUGAUCUUCAUAGUCAACAACAUUAAUCGCUAGUUCUGUUUCUGAAAUUUCUUGCACUAAAAAAGAAAAAGUACAGUUUUAAUUACUUAUAUUAAGAUAAAAGUAUUUUAUCUUUUACAUUUAUUGCAUCUAUUGUAUCUGCAAAAUACCUUUCUCCUUAGCAUUCCAAAUAUGCAUUGGCAUUUGACAGUAUAUAUAUUUUGGCAGAGAUGAGAGCAAAUUAACAGGCUGAUGGCAUUUUAAUUAUUUUAUUGAGAUGGCAUUGGCCCAGCAUGCUUGUUGGAAUUUGCAAAUGUGCGUUGAUUUAUAUUUUAUUUUGUAAACUAGGCCCAAGAGGCUGACUAAUUAGAAACAUGACUCAAAGCUAUAAGGGGUACUUAUUGAUUCAGAUCAUGAAAAGACCAGAAUGAUCAAAAGCAAACAUCUAUCUCCCUCUUCAUCUGGGGUUCAGGAGGUUAAGUGCCAUUUGUCUCAAAUCCCUGGCAUUACCUCUCUGUAACAGAGAACACAAUUAGCAUCUACAUCUACUUGGUUUUAGAAUGUACUGCAUUGCCUAAACCAAUGUGAUUUUCAUGAUUAAACUAUGCAUAAUAAUCUAUUAUCAACUCCUUUCAUUAGCUGAUAUUUUGGUUUAUUCUCCACUUAAUUUAUAUUUUUCAUUCUAUUUAUUUAAAGUUGGAAAUGUAUGGCUUCACUUUUAGAAGAAAUAGCAUGAUUGGCUAAGUAGAUAGGUUUUGUGCUGCACAUCUAAUUAAAAUACCAUGGCAGCAUCUAAUCACUUCAUUAGUUACUUGGGACCAAUUUUAAAUGGCAUCAACAGUUCUGUGUUGCUAUAAUACAGCAAAAAGUGCUAAAAUGUUAAUGCAUUCAUGAGGUAGCGACAGAAAAGGCAAAUCAGAAGUGUUUUUUACUGUCUGUGCUUCUCCAGGUCUUCAGUGGAGCCUGGCUUCAGGACUGACAAGGAAGGCAAUGUGCAUGUUGAAAACAGACAUUGAAUUCAAAUUCAUCCUGAAUGUACCUGAGAGAGAAUUUGUUUUUUGGGGAAGAGAGCAGGAAGCAUCCAUACCUGCCUUCUUCUGCUCUCUGUUUUGCCAGGGUGGGACCAGUUUUGAGCUGAUCUGGGUGCAUUCUUCUGUGCCACCAAACCACUGCAAAGGGGAAUUCUGUUUUCAAGGGUAUCUCAGAUUUUUAGGCACCUUUUCCAGAUUGCAGAGCCUAAUGUAAGAAACGUGAUUUACUUUUUAAUAUGUAAAAAAAGCACAGAUAAAUGUCAGGCUCUUUUGAGUACUCUUCUGUUGCUCUGCCUGUGCUGUCUCACCAUGGUGCACAUGGAAAGCAAAGCUAAUUGCAUUAGCACUGGGGUGCAGCAAGAAGCAUAUUGUAACUGGGCUUGGAAAGCGGAGCUCACAGGCCUCUGCCUGCUGCAACUGCCUGUGCCAAAGCAUUCAUUACUGUGAGCUGGAAAUAUUCACACCCUCCCACACACAAGGACUGGAUUGAGAAACUUUCAUAUUGCAGAGUUACUGAAAUUAUUAAAUACAAAAACAAAGGAUGUCUCAUAUAGGAGACUGAUUGAGGUUUAGCAGUGCCAAAGGGAAGCAGGACUUUCCAUUCCAAAUCAAUGGGCUUUAGUAACAACUGCCACCAAAUCAUUGCAAUUUCACUGCUACUCAGUGCCACAGCACAAGUAGCUUAAUACACUUCUACCUGCAGAAGAAAAAAAAAAUACCAGUAUUUUUUCCAGUGAUGUUUAUAGCCUCAAAUGUGACACCAAGCACUGAGCAACCUCAGCUUUCCUUGCUGGUGCAGGCACCUGAAGGUGCUCAGUGUGGGCUGCACUUACUCUCUCUGUGCUGCACUCCACUUUCUUCCUCAAAGGUGUGAGUUUCCAGCAGUCACAGAGUGUAAGGCAGAACCCCACUGGAUGUCUGCCUGCUUUGUUCCUGCCCAGUGGGUGACUAUGUUGAACAGGAGCAGGACUAGUGGAGGCUGAAGACAUGGUGACAUGAAGUAAUCUGCAGGUUACAGACAUAACUAAAAGAUUUAUGCCUCCCCCAAGUUACUCCAUCCCAGCUUGUGACCAGUCAUGUAAAAGAUUAAGUCAGGUCAACUCCAAUUUGCUCGGACUCAGCUUGUUCCGUGUCAGGGCUUUAAACCACACUUACAUGGCAUCUAUUUACAAUAAAAAUUAAAAAAAAUAUCUGCAGACAGUGUUUAAAAACCAGGCUUCUAUAACCAAAUC